This 397-nucleotide ribosomal RNA is filed under the name uncultured bacterium. RNAcentral's name for it is "bacterial SSU rRNA". It matches the Rfam family "Bacterial small subunit ribosomal RNA", at positions 28 to 417 of the family's 1533-position model. The record is from RNAcentral.
GACGAACGCUGGCGGCGUGCUUAACACAUGCAAGUCGAGCGAGAAAGCACCUUCGGGUGUGAGUACAGCGGCGAACGGGUGAGUAACACGUGGGCAACCUGCCCCAGAGACUGGGAUAACGUCCCGAAAGGGACGCUAAUACCGGAUGUUGCGCGAUCUGCCAAGUAGGUCGCGCCAAAUGGUAGCUUCGGCUUCUGCUCUGGGAUGGGCCCGCGCCGGAUUAGCUUGUUGGUGAGGUAACGGCUCACCAAGGCGACGAUCCAUAGCUGGUCUGAGAGGACGAUCAGCCACACUGGGACUGAGACACGGCCCAGACUCCUACGGGAGGCAGCAGUGGGGAAUCUUGCGCAAUGGGCGAAAGCCUGACGCAGCAACGCCGCGUGAGCGAAGACGGCCU